This is a long non-coding RNA of Dioscorea cayenensis subsp. rotundata (Guinea yam), 2063 nucleotides long. RefSeq lists it as uncharacterized. The record is from RefSeq and is a predicted model, not a curated record. Lineage: Eukaryota; Viridiplantae; Streptophyta; Magnoliopsida; Dioscoreales; Dioscoreaceae. The transcript is spliced from 3 exons.
ACUCUCCAACACCUCCCUGGUCAUCGCCACCAUCACUAGCAACAGCACCACCAUCACCUCUCUUGCUCGGUUCCUCUCAUCCCCUACAGGCUCUCCUCCGCCGAACACUUGAAGAAGAAAAACUUGAAGAAGAAGAAAAAGAAGAAGAAGAAGAAAAAGAAGAAGGUCGUCUCUCCUCAUAUCAGUACGCAUCUGCCUUCGCUGAUGACAAUGACUCCGUCUCCUCAUCAUCAUCAUCGUCGAUUCUGCUCGCCUUCUGCUCAUGGGCUUCUCUCUUUGUGGAGCAGAGGUGGAAGAUGUCAAGAAGGUUGCUCUAGCUCACAGACCUCACAGGGCGCUUGUUGAGAAACACCACACGAGCACUGUUGAUGAUGUUUCUAGAUGUGUCUCCGAAUGGCUACAUGCUUCUCAAGAAUGCGAGGAUGAUACCUUCGUACUCUCUAGUAAGCCAAAUAACAAUUGAACUGUAGUUGUGGUGAAAUUUAAGAUAUCAUGAAUUCAUUUGUUAACCAAUAGAAGUCUGUUAUAAAAAUAAGAAAAUUAAAAUUUGAGAGUUAAAGAAAAUCCUAGGCACUAGAUAGCUCUGGUGCUUCCCCCAUCAUUAUAAGCAGUUAAUGUUGAUUUGAAUUUAUCUUAUUUUAUUUCAUUUCAUUUAUUAAGUAUUGUCAUAUUACGGUAAAGUUAUUGUUAUACAUCCAUUUGUUGUCAUAUUUUAUUAUGAUUGCAAAUUAAUUAUAGUUUCACAUUAUGACAUCAGUGGAAACAUAACGAUUUUUGAUAAUCUGUCUCAUAUUACCGAGAGUAAACAAAUAACCUCUAAAAAUCUAACUCGGGUCAUCAAAUUUAAACAAAUAACCUCUGAUAAAGUAGAUGCUAAUGAUUCUUUUCUACUUUUGCAGGAUAAGCAGCUUUGAUCCUCCUCUUAAUUGAGUUUGUGCAUGGUGACUUAAAUUGCUAAAAUUACUGAAAUUAUCCUUUUGUAUAAAGAGCAGGAAUUGAUAACAAGAAGAAAGGAAGAAAUCCUAUAAUUUUAGGUAUUUUUUUUGUAAUGUGCCAUCCAUAGAUUUGAUAGGUUUUCAUUGUGCUACUUUGAAUUUGUUAGGAUUUCAUUUUGCAAAGUAAUCUAACAUAAUACAAAUAGAGAUUUAAGAAAUAUGUCAAACAUAAGUUUGAGUGUGGAAUUUUAUUAACAAUUUUGGUAUGAUUUGAUGUGUUUUUAGUGAUGGUUAUACUUGUGAAAUUUGAUGGUUGUGCAUAUAAAUCUUAUCAUAAUACAAGUUAGAGAUGGAAUUACAUUGAGUGCUAAGUGGAACAUUUGUUUGGAGAAAUGGAAUUUGAUGGUUGAUGUUUUUAGUGUUUAUUAACUUUGUUUAGAUUGAAAGGAAGUCCUUUGUCAUGUAUGAUGAGUGCAUUUUAUAUAGGAGUUUUCAACACAAGAAGAGCACAGUUUCAGUGCCCGUAGCACGGUCGUGCUGGGGAAGCACGGGCUGAAGCACGCCCGUGCUUAUACCUAUGAGGUUUACUGGAAAAUCUCUCCCAGGCGGAGGACAGUACUGUAGCAUGAUUACUAUAGCACCGAUACUAUAACAUGGUUAUUGUAGCAUAAAGUUCAAAGUUUCGAUGCUUUUAGCACGGUCAUACUGGGGGAGCACGGGUAGGAGCACGCCCGUGCUUAUGCAUAUGCGUUUUACAGGUUUUUGACUAUUUUGUGCCGAAGAUUGAUCCCAAAACUCUCGAAAGAGUAUCGUUAAGAUCACGACCAAGGGCACGAUUGUGCUUGCCUCGAGAUUGCCUUUUUAAGCCCCAAAGUUAGGUUGUCAAGGGGACUUUUGCUGGGGUUUCUUCUAGAUCUUCUUGGAGGUGGCGGCUAGACUUCAUCUUCCAUGAAUUGGAGGCGGAUCUGAGGUUCUAGGACACCGAGUAGAGCGGAGCAACGUCUGCUAGACUUCAUCGGAGUACCGUCGGAGUGGUUUGGAAGCAAAAAGAGAGUUUUUCAUGGAUUAUUUCUUUUUUGUUUUCUUUAGUCCUUCAUGCAUUUGUAAAACUAUGAGGGGCUAACUGUG